RNAcentral lists this ribosomal RNA (301 nucleotides) under uncultured bacterium. RNAcentral's name for it is "partial 16S ribosomal RNA". It matches the Rfam family "Bacterial small subunit ribosomal RNA", at positions 509 to 807 of the family's 1533-position model. The record is from RNAcentral.
CAGUCGCCACGGGAAUACGGAGGGAGCUAGCGUUGUUCGGAAUUACUGGGCGUAAAGCGCGCGUAGGCGGUUACUCAAGUCAGAGGUGAAAGCCCAGGGCUCAACCUUGGAACUGCCUUUGAUACUGGGCAUCUUGAGUAUGGGAGAGGUGAGUGGAACUCCGAGUGUAGAGGUGAAAUUCGUAGAUAUUCGGAAGAACACCAGUGGCGAAAGCGGCUCACUGGACCAUUUCUGACGCUGAUGCACGAAAGCUAGGGGAGCAAACAGGAUUAGAUACCCCCGUAGUCCCUGUCUCUUAUAC